UCCUGGACAAGAAACACUUUGCCAACCUCUGGACUAGACUGAGUAAAGCAAGCAGAAAGAUCCAAUUUUAAAAAGAGGUGAGGAAAAUGGGACAACUUGGCUAUGGAGAGAGCAAGAAGAAUGCAACUGAUGUGCACAAAGUUUGAAGACAAAGUUACUCAGUUUAGAUCAGGGGUCCACAACCCCCAGCCAUGGACCAGUACUGAUUUGUGGCCUGUUAGGAACUCAGUUGCAGUAGGAGGUGAAUGCCAG
RNAcentral lists this long non-coding RNA (252 nucleotides) under Homo sapiens (human). RNAcentral describes it as "non-protein coding lnc-KIF2B-6:2". The record is from RNAcentral. Lineage: Eukaryota; Metazoa; Chordata; Mammalia; Primates; Hominidae.